GCCGGUGAUGCGCGACGUCUUCUCGCGCAUCGGGCCGGAAACCCGCCUGCCCGGCCCGCCGCCGGGCAUCCUCGCCGUGCCGAACGGCGCGCUGCCGCC
Molecule: transfer RNA, 99 nt
Filed under: Aureimonas endophytica
Lineage: Bacteria; Pseudomonadati; Pseudomonadota; Alphaproteobacteria; Hyphomicrobiales; Aurantimonadaceae
Description: tRNA-Ser
Source: RNAcentral